RNAcentral lists this ribosomal RNA (2435 nucleotides) under human gut metagenome. RNAcentral's name for it is "bacterial LSU rRNA". It matches the Rfam family "Bacterial large subunit ribosomal RNA", at positions 1 to 2458 of the family's 2925-position model. The record is from RNAcentral.
UAAAGCAAGAAAGGGCGUAUGGGGAAUGCCUAGGCACACUCCGGCGAAGAAGGACGCAGCAAACAGCGAAAUGCGACGGUGAGCGGUAAGCACGUGAAGAGCCGUCGAUAUCCGAAUGGGGGAACCCACACGGAGUCAUAUCCGUGUAUCACAUGUCGAAUACAUAGACAUGAUGAGGCGAGACGCAGGGAACUGAAACAUCUAAGUACCUGCAGGAAGAGAAAAUAAGAAUGAUUUUCUGAGUAGCGGCGAGCGAAAGGGAAAGAGCCCAAACCGAUCUGAGGAUCGGGGUAGUAGGAUCAUCGAUAAAUCAAACAGAGGAUCAUAGAGGAAUCACAUGGGAAGGUGAGCGAGAGAGGGUGAGAGCCCCGUACUCGAAAUGAGAGACUGGAGAGAGAUGACACCUGAGUAGGGCGGGACACGAGAAAUCCUGUCUGAAUCAGCCGGGACCAUCCGGCAAGGCUAAAUACGAGAGAGUGACCGAUAGUGAACCAGUACCGUGAGGGAAAGGUGAAAAGAACCCCGGGAGGGGAGUGAAAGAGAACCUGAAACCAUAUGCCUACAAGAAGUCAGAGCCCGUUAAAGGGUGAUGGCGUGCCUUUUGUAGAAUGAACCGGCGAGUUACUGUAUGGAGCGAGGUUAAGCAGGAUAUGCGGAGCCGAAGCGAAAGCGAGUCUUAAGAGGGCGCGAGUUGCAUGCAGUAGACCCGAAACCGGGUGAUCUAGCCAUGACCAGGUUGAAGUUGGGGUAAAACCCGAUGGAGGACCGAACCGACCCCCGUUGAAACGUUGGCGGAUGAGUUGUGGCUAGGGGUGAAAUUCCAAUCGAACCCGGAGAUAGCUGGUUCUCCCCGAAAUAGCUUUAGGGCUAGCGUCGAGAGAAGAGUUGCGUGAAGGUAGAGCACUGAAUAUGUGAUGGCCCCAUCUCGGGGUACUGAGCAUAAUCAAACUGCGAAUGUCACGCCAACAUGCUCGGCAGUCAGACAGCGGGUGAUAAGGUCCGUUGUCAAGAGGGAAACAGCCCAGACCAUCAGCUAAGGUCCCAAAAUGUAUGCUAAGUGGAAAAGGAUGUGGAGAUGUACAGACAACUAGGAGGUUGGCUCAGAAGCAGCCAUCCUUUAAAGAGUGCGUAACAGCUCACUAGUCGAAUGACUCUGCGCCGAUAAUUUACCGGGGCUAAGCAUACUACCGAAGCUAUGGAUCCCAAGGGAUGGUAGGGGAGCGUUCCAUGAACGGAGAAGUACGACCGAAAGGACGUGUGGAGAUCAUGGAAGAGAGAAUGCCGGUGUGAGUAGCGGAACGUGGGUGAGAAUCCCACGCACCGAAAACCCAAGGUUUCCAGAGGAAGGUUCGUCCGCUCUGGGUAAGUCGGGACCUAAGGCGAGGCCGAAAGGCGUAGUCGAUGGACAACAGGUAGAGAUUCCUGUACCCGUAUAUAUGUGAAGGAAUGACGGAGAGAGGAAGCUGCAGCCAGCGGCUGGAAGAGCUGGUGCAAGCGAGAUAUCGGGAUGGCAGGCAAAUCCACCAUCCGAAACGAGAAGGCGUGAAGCGUACGGAAAGCUACGGCGAGUACGGAAGGCAGUGGAGGAACUUCCAAGAAAAGUUUCUAACGUUAAGUAUAUAUGGCCCGUACCGAAAAUGGACACACAUGGGUGAGGAGAGAAUCCUAAGGUGAGCGAGAGAACUAUAGCUAAGGAACUCUGCAAAAUGACUCCGUAACUUAGGGAGAAGGAGUGCUCAUAGAGAUAUGAGCCGCAGUGAAACGGCCCAAGCGACUGUUUACCAAAAACACAGCUCUCUGCUAAGCCGCAAGGCGAAGUAUAGGGGGUGACGCCUGCCCGGUGCUGGAAGGUUAAGGGGAGGGGUUAACGCAAGUGAAGCCCUGAACUGAAGCCCCAGUAAACGGCGGCCGUAACUAUAACGGUCCUAAGGUAGCGAAAUUCCUUGUCAGGUAAGUUCUGACCCGCACGAAAGGCGUAAUGAUUUGGGCACUGUCUCAACAGCCCGCCCGGCGAAAUUGUAGUACUGGUGAAGAUGCCAGUUACCCGCAACUAGACGGAAAGACCCCAUGGAGCUUUACUGCAGCUUAAUACUGGAAUUCGGUAAAUCAUGUACAGGAUAGGUGGGAGACUGGGAAGCAUUGGCGUCAGCUAGUGUGGAGUCGCUGGUGGGAUACCACUCUUGAUUUGCUGGGUUUCUAACCUGCGGCCGUGAAUCCGGUCGGGGGACACUGUUAGGCGGGCAGUUUGACUGGGGCGGUCGCCUCCAAAAGAGUAACGGAGGCGCUCAAAGGUUCGUUCAGCACGGACGGAAAUCGUGCAUUGAGUGUAAACGCAUAAACGAGCCUAACUGCGAGACCGACGGGUCGAGCAGUAACGAAAGUUGGAGUUAGUGAUCCGGUGGUAUGUGAGUGGAAAUGCCAUCGCUCAACGGAUA